RNAcentral lists this ribosomal RNA (245 nucleotides) under uncultured Rudaea sp. RNAcentral describes it as "partial 16S ribosomal RNA". It matches the Rfam family "Bacterial small subunit ribosomal RNA", at positions 524 to 768 of the family's 1533-position model. The record is from RNAcentral. Lineage: Bacteria; Pseudomonadati; Pseudomonadota; Gammaproteobacteria; Lysobacterales; Rhodanobacteraceae.
UACGGAGGGUGCAAGCGUUGCUCGGAAUUAUUGGGCGUAAAGGGGAGGUAGGUGGUCUCAUUUGUCUGGGGUGAAAGCCUUGAGCUUAACUCAAGAAGUGCCCCGGAAACGGUGAGACUGGAGUCCUGGAGAGGGUCGUGGAAUUCCCGGUGUAGCGGUGAAAUGCGUAGAGAUCGGGAGGAACACCUGAGGCGAAGGCGGCGACCUGGACAGGUACUGACACUCAACUCCGAAAGCGUGGGGAG